CCUACGGGAGGCAGCAGUGGGGAAUAUUGGACAAUGGGGGCAACCCUGAUCCAGCCAUGCCGCGUGUGUGAAGAAGGCCCUCGGGUUGUAAAGCACUUUCAGUGAGGAAGAACGCCUGGUGGUUAAUACCCAUCAGGGAAGACAUCACUCACAGAAGAAGCACCGUCUAACUCCGUGCCAGCAGCCGCGGUAAUACGGAGGGUGCGAGCGUUAAUCGGAAUUACUGGGCGUAAAGCGCGCGUAGGUGACUUGAUAAGCCGGUUGUGAAAGCCCCGGGCUCAACCUGGGAACGGCAUCCGGAACUGUCAAGCUAGAGUGCAGGAGAGGAAGGUAGAAUUCCCGGUGUAGCGGUGAAAUGCGUAGAGAUCGGGAGGAAUACCAGUGGCGAAGGCGGCCUUCUGGACUGACACUGACACUGAGGUGCGAAAGCGUGGGUAGCAAACAGGAUUAGAUACCCUUGUAGUC
This 465-nucleotide ribosomal RNA is filed under the name Vreelandella stevensii. RNAcentral describes it as "partial 16S ribosomal RNA". It matches the Rfam family "Bacterial small subunit ribosomal RNA", at positions 338 to 795 of the family's 1533-position model. The record is from RNAcentral. Lineage: Bacteria; Pseudomonadati; Pseudomonadota; Gammaproteobacteria; Oceanospirillales; Halomonadaceae.